AGAGCGAACGCUGGCGGCAGGCCUAACACAUGCAAGUCGAGCGCCCGUAGCAAUACGGGAGCGGCAGACGGGAUAGUAACACGUGGGAACGCGCCCUUCGGUUCGGAAUAACUCAGGGAAACUUGAGCUAAUACCGGAUACGCCCUUACGGGGAAAGAUUUAUUGCCGAAGGAACGGCCCGCGUCCGAUUAGCUAGUUGGUGAGGUAAUGGCUCACCAAGGCGACGAUCGGUAGCUGGUCUGAGAGGAUGACCAGCAUCACUGGGACUGAGACACGGCCCAGACUCCUACGGGAGGCAGCAGUGAGGAAUAUUGGACAAUGGGGGCAACCCUGAUCCAGCCAUGCCGCGUGAGUGAUGAAGGCCUUCGGGUUGUAAAACUCUUUAGAUGUGACGAUGAUGACGGUAACAUCAGAAAACGCUCCGGCUAACUUCGUGCCAGCAGCCGC
RNAcentral lists this ribosomal RNA (447 nucleotides) under uncultured bacterium. RNAcentral describes it as "SSU rRNA". It matches the Rfam family "Bacterial small subunit ribosomal RNA", at positions 26 to 518 of the family's 1533-position model. The record is from RNAcentral.